RNAcentral lists this ribosomal RNA (660 nucleotides) under uncultured fungus. RNAcentral describes it as "eukaryotic LSU rRNA". It matches the Rfam family "Eukaryotic large subunit ribosomal RNA", at positions 24 to 664 of the family's 3401-position model. Lineage: Eukaryota; Fungi. The record is from RNAcentral.
CCCGCUGAACUUAAGCAUAUCAAUAAGCGGAGGAAAAGAAACUAACAAGGAUUCCCCUAGUAACUGCGAGUGAAGCGGGAAAAGCUCAAAUUUAAAAUCUGGCGGUCUUUGGCCGUCCGAGUUGUAAUCUAGAGAAGUAAUGCCCGUGCUGGACCGUGUAUAAGUCUCCUGGGAUGGGGCGUCAUAGAGGGUGAGAAUCCCGUCUUUGACACGGACUACCAGUGCAUUGUGAUGCGCUCUCAAAGAGUCGGGUUGUUUGGGAAUGCAGCUCAAAAUGGGUGGUAAAUUCCAUCUAAAGCUAAAUAUUGGCGAGAGACCGAUAGCGAACAAGUACCGUGAGGGAAAGAUGAAAAGAACUUUGGAAAGAGAGUUAAACAGUACGUGAAAUUGCUGAAAGGGAAACGCUUGAAGUCAGUCGCGUUGGCCAGGGAUCAGCCUUGCUUUUGCAUGGUGUACUUUCUGGUUCGAUGGGUCAGCAUCAAUUUUGACCGCUGGAAAACGGUCAAGGGAAUGUGGCAUCUUUGGAUGCUGUUAUAGCCCCUGGUCACAUACGGCGGUUGAGAUUGAGGAACUCAGCACGCCCGCAAGGCCGGGUGUCGACCACGUUCGUGCUUAGGAUGCUGGCAUAAUGCUCUUUAAGCGACCCGUCUUGAAACACGG